RNAcentral lists this ribosomal RNA (492 nucleotides) under uncultured bacterium. Its description in RNAcentral is "partial 16S ribosomal RNA". It matches the Rfam family "Bacterial small subunit ribosomal RNA", at positions 29 to 507 of the family's 1533-position model. The record is from RNAcentral.
AGUGAACGCUGGCGGUAGGCCUAACACAUGCAAGUCGAACGGCAGCACAGUAAGAGUUUGCUCUUACGGGUGGCGAGUGGCGGACGGGUGAGGAAUACAUCGGAAUCUACUUUUUCGGGGGGGAUAACGUAGGGAAACUUACGCUAAUACCGCAUACGACCUACGGGUGAAAGCAGGGGAUCUUCGGACCUUGCGCGAUUGAAUGAGCCGAUGUCGGAUUAGCUAGUUGGCGGGGUAAAGGCCCACCAAGGCGACGAUCCGUAGCUGGUCUGAGAGGAUGAUCAGCCACACUGGAACUGAGACACGGCCCAGACUCCUACGGGAGGCAGCAGUGGGGAAUAUUGGUCAAUGGGCGCAAGCCUGAUCCAGCCAUACCGCGUGGGUGAAGAAGGCCUUCGGGUUGUAAAGCCCUUUUGUUGGGAAAGAAAAGCAGCAGGUUAAUACCCCGCUGUUCUGACGGUACCCAAAGAAUAAGCACCGGCUAACUUCGUG